GGAGUCACGCGAAGUCGGAAGUACCAGCUGCGGGAAGGAGCUGCCCACUGUGCGUCUUCUCAACUUGUUGGGACAACCUUCCUGCGGAAAGGAGAGACAACCUUCCUGCAGAAAGGAGCUACCUGCUUCAGGUGCCCACAGCAGAAUCCACAUGCCGUCCAUCUGGUCCAGCCUCACGCAGAGCCACAACUGUGCUGGCGCCUGGAGCUGCCAGCCCCACUGCAGCAGCCGGACUGACAUUCAGACGUGGAGCAAGUUGGACUGCAUAGGGACCCACCAGUGAGAUGGACGCUGUCUGUAAACGGUUCUCCAGGGAGGCUGCUCUGCCAAGUCUGGUAUUUCAUGAAUAGAUCUGAAAACAGACAUUAUCUCUUCUCCCAGUGAAGAGAGAGCGAUGAAGCCUCAGGACAAAAGGAGGCAGUGGGAUGAUGCCACCAAGGGACCAUUCUGAAGAGCCAUCAGCAAAAAGCAGCCACACCUGCUUAUGUGGCUCUGGGACAAAUGAUCUGAGCCGUGACGUGGAACUUAGAUGCAGUAAAGUCCAUUGUAUUGAGCCUUCUCUGGCACUCCUCCCAAAACAGAGAGACAACAGUUCUGUUAUGUUUUGUUUGGUUUGGUCUCCCUCAACUCAUCAAUGAGCCUUUUUAAAAAGAAUAAUUCGGUACUUUCUUUAAAGGUGGUAGAAUUGGCUCUUACUCUAGUCUGUUUUCUCCUUCCUAAGGGAGGAGCAUCCUUCUUGUUAACACAGAACCCCAAACUAUCUGAUCAGAAAGAAAAUAAUUCAAUCUGCUGUUUGAAUUGACUUCCAGCAGCGUCUUAAAUUUUAAUUGGCCCCCGGCCUAAAACAACCUCAAACUGUAUGUCUUCCAUACUCCUCUCACCACCACCAUCACCACUGCCCCUACAACCACUCUAAGCAUAGUACAUAUGGUGAACAUACCAUGAUAUUGAAUGCUAUUCUCACUCUGCCUUCUCUUAAUCUGAUCUUACUCAGGUUCUGACAGUUGACGCUGAAAACAUUUUUUGUUGUUGUUGUGGUUGAGACAGAGUUUCGCACUUGUUGCCCAGGCUGGAGUACAGUGGUGCGAUCUCGGCUCACUGCAACCUCCGCCUCCCGGGUUCAAGUGAUUCUCCUGCCUCAGCUCCCCAAGUAGCUGGGAUUACAGGCAUGUGCCACCAUGCCUGACUAAGUUUGUAUUUUUAGUAGAGACGGGGUUUCUCCAUGUUGGUCAGGCUGAUCUCGAACUCCCGACCUCAGGUGAUCCGCCUGCCUCGGCCUCCCAAAGUGCUGGGAUUACUGGUGUGAGCCACCAUGCCCGGCCAUGACACUGAAAACAUUUUAAAGGAGAAACAGAUUACCAAUUAUCCAUAAAGAUGAGAAUUAUCUGGCAACAUUUUGGUUAGAUGAAAACUGUGACUAGAGAGCUAACAAAAACAAACACAAUGAGCACUAGAUAUCUGCCAGGCAUUGUUCACAGCCCCUUUUUUGGUCUCAUCUGAUCCUUGCUGUAGAUCAGGAAUCAACAAACUAAGCUUUCACCACUUGUCAGGGGUAAAGCCAUGUCAGUCUGAGUCCCAAUGCCACACUGUUAGCCACUCUCCCACACCACCUGCUCCAACUAUUUGAAGAAGGAGAAUGUUUUUCCAGUUAAUAAAGUUAAUAGUUAAAAA
RNAcentral lists this long non-coding RNA (1671 nucleotides) under Homo sapiens (human). RNAcentral's name for it is "long intergenic non-protein coding RNA 1579". The record is from RNAcentral. Lineage: Eukaryota; Metazoa; Chordata; Mammalia; Primates; Hominidae.